RNAcentral lists this small RNA (752 nucleotides) under Pongo abelii (Sumatran orangutan). RNAcentral's name for it is "processed transcript". Lineage: Eukaryota; Metazoa; Chordata; Mammalia; Primates; Hominidae. The record is from RNAcentral.
CGACGCCCGUGGUUCCCUACUGAAAGGGGCGGAGCCUGGACUGGGGGGCAGGCUCAGAUUCAGGUUAAAUUGCGGAUUGAGCUCGCAGUUACAGACAGCUGACCAUGGAAGCGAACGGGUUAGGCCUCCAGCCUAGCAUACUGACACCUACCCCCACCCCAACCUGAUCGCCAGACCUCAGGGUUUUCCAGAGCUGAAGAAUGACACAUUCCUGCGAGCAGCCUGGGGAGAGGAAACAGACUACACUCCCGUUUGGUGCAUGCGCCAGGCAGGCCGUUACUUACCAGAGUUUAGGGAAACCCGGGCUGCCCAGGACUUUUUCAGCACGUGUCGCUCUCCUGAGGCCUGCUGUGAACUGACUCUGCAGGUGAGGGGUCCACAAAAGAGGGAAAGAUUUAUGCCUUCAGUCUUCCACCUAGCAACCUGUCUCCUGUUUCCUACAGCCACUGCGUCGCUUCCCUCUGGAUGCUGCCAUCAUUUUCUCCGACAUCCUUGUUGUACCCCAGGCACUGGGCAUGGAGGUGACCAUGGUACCUGGCAAAGGACCCAGCUUCCCAGAGCCAUUAAGAGAAGAGCAGGACCUAGAAUGCCUACGGGAUCCAGAAGUGGUAGCCUCUGAGCUAGACUAUGUGUUCCAAGCCAUCACCCUUACCCGACAACGACUGGCUGGACGUGUGCCGCUGAUUGGCUUUGCUGGUGCCCCAUGGACCCUGAUGACAUACAUGGUUGAGGGUGGUGGCUCAAGCACCAUG